ACUUUGUUUCAGUAUUCCAGUCUAAGGUUCUUCAGAGGCUGUAUCUUACCUCCCAGGCCUGCGAAAGAAUCCAGGUCUCCACCCGCUGAGACCUCUGUGAAACAAAAAGUAGGCCUAGAGGAGGAGSGCACUAUCACUGGAGAUAGCCAGGCAGACAAGUAUACACAGUCCUAGCUCCCCCUGCAGAUUACAAGACGAMUGCAGAGGGAUCUGUCACGCCUUCAGCCAGCAUGCAUAAAUACUGUGGAGUUGUUGAGAACACUCAUGAGUCCAACAAAGAUGAAGAGGUAGAAGAAGACGAUGGAGGAAGAAGAAGGAGAAAUGGGAACUAUAGCUCCAGGAGGUGGGACAGUGGUGGACGGAGCGGGCCAGGUUACAGAAUCCAACCCUGGGGACCCCCAUGGAGGAAGGAGUGUGGCUCAACAAGAAGAGGAGGAAGCAACGUAAUCAACAGAAGCUCUUGUCUCUGGGUCUGGUGCCCCGUGCUGCAGCUCGAGUCCACCUACGAGAGCGAGGGGGAGCGGAGGGGGGAGGAAGAGAUGAGGCAGAGAAGAGCAGCUGAAGUGAUAAUCUUCCUCAGGACCACACAAGAUCUACGUGUCUGAUUGUGAGUGUGACGUACCAGGGCUGCUAAUCAACCCAGAUACGGUCACAUAUAGCCUAAGCUGUGUUUCAGUCUUCCUAAGAGCUGGCCAAAAGUGCUGAAGCAUAYUUCAUUUUAUAGCUUUCAGAUUGGCAGAAAAUAAAUAAUUUGAACAGCACUGUGCAGAGCACACGCAKAUUGAAAGUGAAAGCACAGCUCAUUAAUCACUAGCCUAUAACAACUUGAGGACCWUGAGAGAUUUAGGAAUCGAGGUGUAGAGGUUUGGGUUUACUUCAUCAUGCUCAAAUGUAAUGGACAGGCUCAGUCAUCUGGUCUGUCAUAAUCCCUCCGUGACUUGCCUCUGGAGGACUAGACAGACAGUCAGUCCAAAGAAUCCCAUUGGUUCCAGGGAUUAAGGUUUCUCUGUUGGUGAAUUACUGUGGAAGGCUAAGGAGGAAGACCUCUGGAAAUGUCCACAGUUGUUCAGUUAAAGGGGCCAGAUGCUCCUGUUCCUUAUAUGCACCUCAGUCUAGAGAUAGACCAGGUGAUUAGACACAGGCCCAUUCAGCAACGGAGCUUAUAAUGGUUGGUGGAGUAAUAGUAUACUUACUCCACUACCAAGCAGGUUCAUCUGGUAGUGGAGGGCCUUCUGACCAGCCUGUACAAUGGAACAUUCCCCCCUGCUGUUUUGGCCCAGCUCCACAGCCUCUAGUCCCUUGUGCAGCAACAGGACACAGCAAGGAUGGCAAAGGAUCUGCAGGAGCUCCAGAACAGCUCUACCAUGUCUACUGGUGAUGCCACUGCAGUUGUGUACCUGUUUCAGUAUUGGAUCACAGACAUCCCGCCCAUGCAGAGAAUGGAAAACAGGCCAACCAACAACACAGCCUUAGACUUUCCUAGAUGUUCCGUGUUUUAAACAAUACUGCUGAUGGAAA
Molecule: long non-coding RNA, 1518 nt
Organism: Salvelinus sp. IW2-2015
Lineage: Eukaryota; Metazoa; Chordata; Actinopteri; Salmoniformes; Salmonidae
Source: RefSeq, a predicted model, not a curated record